AAAUGCUGAAUAAAGAGAGGAAGACAAUUAAUUCUAUUCUCUCUCUCUCUCUCUCUCUUUUUUUUUUUUUUUUUGCGAGAGACGGAAUUCAACCACGUGCCUUCUGGGAAGCCAUAUUAGAUUAAUUAAGUUGAGAAGAUCGGAACAUUUCCCAAGGUUACAUGCAGAAGUCCACACAACUUGAACUCGCCUCUUGAGUCUGGGUCACCUUGAUGAGUGCCAAGAUCAUGAAGCCAGACCGUGCUGAGCUGGGGGGUGAAGAACGGUUCCCACAACAACGACAAUGACAACCAUCAUCACCACCACAAAACCCAACAAGGUAGAUGGUACUUUUAACUGGAGCUGACUGAAAAAUCUCCGAAUUCGAAUGCAAAGUGUGAAAAGGCAAGACGACCAGUAACGUUAUCUUUGGAAAAGCAGGGGGUAAGAAAGCUUUUAACAUAGUUGGAGAGCUCCCAACUAGAUAAAACAGCAGGUUAUGCCAUAUUAAGAUGUGCUUGGCACCCAGGGAGAAGGGAAAGUCAAUGGUUACAUCUCUAACGGACGAAAUGGUAUCCACGGCAGGAGAUUAAAAAAACAACCCAACCGCUCGGUCCGUUAAUCCAAAGUUGGGAAGACUGAAUCCAAGAGAGCUGAGAGCACAAUCACAAAUCACUUUCAAGAGCCAGAUGUGUUGUUUUCCUCAAAUGGGUUUCAUUAGAAAUGAAGUCACACACACACACACACACACACACACACACACACGUGCGCACACACACUUAAGAGGAAGCAAGAUUGAUCUGGGUAAAUAAAAAAGAUGAGUGAGAACCUUGGUUUUACCCCAGAAAUAGAGACAGUAUGGCAGGAGACCGAGUGGUGUGUUGGGAAUCUUUUUUACAGAGGUAAUCCGCACCCUUUGUGUGAAAGGAAGGAAAAGGUUGCCAGCCAGGCUUCUGUUUAGCUGGAGGGUUCUCUGCCCAACAUACCCAGAUGCAUGGUGAGGCGCACCCAAAAUGAAUGAAUACAUUUCAAGGUAGGCAGGGCAAACAGGAAGGCUCAUUUGUGGUAUAAGAAACAGACUAAAUAUAGGAUAAAUACUAAGGCUAAGAUCAUGAUGGUGGGUUAGGCUUAGAGGAAGGUGUCAAAUACAUGGGUAAUACUUUGGAAGCAUCAGCAGACUCCCAGGCAAGGCGUCGAGAGAGAGAGAGACAGACAGACAGACAGACAGAUGGAAGUCUGAUUACCAUGUCUGGAAGACUAUUUCUUGGUGGGGUGGGGCUGACAGCCUCUGACGCGCUGGAAGGACCAAGGAGAGGACUGGGGUCUGAAGAAGGCCUUUUACCACCCAGGGGGAAUUUCUCCUGCUUAUGGAAGAGGAAUAUUGCAAUCAGGGCACAAUCCAUGUCUCACCUGGACCGAAGCAACAGCCUCCUCGCUGGGCUUCCCGCCUUCACUCUUUUCCGCUAACAUUUAUCCCCCCAGCCAGCCUUCUCGCACCAAGAUACAAGGUGAUCAUAGCUCUCUCCUGUUUCCAAGCCCUUGAGGACUCUCAGCCUGGGCUUCCGAUGUCCUGAAUUUCCCUCAACCUGUCUUUUUGACCCUGUGCCACUAUUUUCUGGUCAUUUGGGUCUACUCACAGACACACCUCACUUUCCUUCCUCCACGGCCUCUGCCCUUGCUGUGGGCACAGAACAACUUGGAGAAAACAUGUCAAAAUGAUACCUAUACACUGAGUUUCACUUAUAAAGGUCUACCCCCAUAAAGGACUUGUGUAAAUCAGCGAAGGUUCUCGGGAAGUAAAUUAAAAACCUAAAGCUACUAGCCCUUACAUUAAAGAGAUAUUAUACUGAAAACGCAAGAGAUAUGAAGAGCCUUUGUACAGACACCAGCCUAGACUUACUCACUGAAAAAGGCAGCUGUUAUGCACCUUGAAUAACAGUGAUGGGAACUGCUGUAGUCUUAGCUACGCUUAAAAAAGUGCAUUUCACUCCUCCGACCCCAUAAUGAAAAUGUGAAGGGUCUGCAUUUCAGGUCUCUUGCAAAAACACGGAAGCGUUUUUUCCUAUUGUUCAUCACAAAAAUAACAAGGAUGUACAUUUUCUCACUUAGUUUUUCCUUGUAUUAGUGCCAGUUGCUCAGGAGGAAAAGCAAAAAAGCUACCAUUGUUUCCUUGUGACAGAGGCUGUGUUCAGGUGCCCUGUUAUUUUAUCGGCAAUGUAGAGUCACCUCUGUGUUCUGGCGUGCUGCUUUGGCGUCCCAGCAAAAUGAUAACAUGAAGGAGACCCACUCUUUAAUCUUCUCCCUGUUGAUAGGAAUAAACUUUUCAGUUGGCGUGUGGCAACAAUAGCACCUGUGCUCCUUUGGAACCAGAAAAAGAUUCUUUUAUUAAGGUUGGAACAGGCAGUGGGAGCAGGUACCAGGGAAAUAAAGAUUUUUCCCGAAGUAGCUUCAAUGACCCACUGGCUCUUCACCACCUCCACACUUGCACACUAGAAUUAAUCUUCCUGCCGCCUCUGCGAGGAAAGCUCAGAGAAAUGGGAAGAACAGUCGAAAAUAACAGUAGUGAUCAUAGGGUUGGGACCUUUUGGCUUUGACACUGAUUUCUUUUGUGUUCAUAAGCGAGCCCCUUAACCCGUCAGCACCAUUUUUUUGUAUAGCUACCCAGGUGUGCCUCCCUUUGGGGGAUGCGUGUGUUUAUGAAGCCUGUGUUUGAAUGAAUUUAUAUAAAUCACAACUUUUCUAUUGGCUUUCAUGACAAUGUGAAAAAGAAGGCUGUUCGCCUUGGGCUUAAUCUGCAGCAGAUCAAGGCCCUUCAUACUUCGGCGUGAGCGUUCUGUGCCUCCUCUGCCCAGCUUCCUCCCCUGGCCUUGGCCUCUCUGUCAAGCAGACAAUCAUCUACAAAGGAUCCGUUAGGCACCUUUGCUUGCACCGGGAGCCCCCCUUAAAAACCGAAGACUUCUUCAGGGAUGAACAUGGCCCCUCCCUAACAUAGGUAGCUUGUACAGAUGUUUGUGUAUUGGGUUCUCUUAUGUGAAAAGCAACUGGGGUGAUGGGGAUGGGGGUGUGGGUUGACUGGCGUCCCCUCAAAAUUCAUCUGUUGAAGUGUCAAUCCCCAGUACCUCAGAAUGUGACCUUAUCUGGAAAUUGGGUUGGGUUAUUGUAGAUGUCAUUGGUGAAGAUGAGGUUAUACUGGCCUCCUAAUUCAUUAUGACAAGCGUCCUUAUAAAAAGUUCGGAUGCAGAGACACGCUCACAGGGAGAAUGCUGUGUGAACGUUGUAGUUCUGCUGACGCAAGCCAAGGAAAUACCAGAAGCCAGGAGAAAGGCCUAGAACAGACCUUCCCUAGAGCCUUCAGAAGGAACGUGGCCCUGUGACACCCUGAUGUCAGAUGACUGGCCUCCAGAACGCUUCUUUUCAGCAACCAAUAUUGUAAGCAUGAAGGCUUUGGUUCUUUCAGUCAAUGAUUUAAAUUUCAAUUUGCAUGCCCUGUGUUAGUAUUCGUUGUUAUACACGUUUUCCGGACUGGACGCGCACCGGUCAAUUUCA
Felis catus (domestic cat) is the source of this 3525-nucleotide long non-coding RNA. RefSeq lists it as uncharacterized. Lineage: Eukaryota; Metazoa; Chordata; Mammalia; Carnivora; Felidae. The record is from RefSeq and is a predicted model, not a curated record. The transcript has 3 exons.